CAAUCCUUUUGGUCAAUCCAAAACAACAAAGCCGACGGUUCUCUCCUUCUCUUCUUCCACUCCUCCCACAAUCUCCUCCUCCUCGCUGGUUGCCGCCUUCAAUCCCCCACCGCCGCCCACACUGCCCGGAUCGCUCCUCUCUCCGCCGUGCCUUCAGCGCCUCUCCCUCAUCAAACCGCCAGCCCAUCAUGCAUCGCCGGCGCGGGUCAUCCGGUAGCGCUCCUCGUUGGAUCAACGCGCUCCUCACCUGCCCUCCGUGCUCCCCACUAGGUCAUGCUCAAUCAGAUGCCGGUAAGAUCCGGCUCCGCCGCCCCUACUGGCGCGUAGGCGUCGUCUUGGAUGCCACCGCUGCCCCAAUCGCCGAGCUCCCGCCGCCCGCCCCUACAGUCGUUGCCACCCGAAGUUAAGCCAGCCUGCAGGAGCAACGAUAGCCCGCCUCUCUUCAGUUUUUUCCCUGUGUAUUUGUCUAUCCGAUCUUCAUUUCUAUUCUUGGAUGAAUUUGAGUAGUAAUAGCACGAAUUUAUAAGUACUGAUAUUCCUGUGGUUUGUGCGUAAGAAAAUAAUGAAUCUGGAGACAUUGAUAAUCGAAUGUUACAUCGAUCUACUUUCUCAUUAUGUGACGCUGGACAACUAUAUUCAACCCGUUCAGUCCACAUGUUUGGCUUAAUCAUCAUGGAUUGUAUUUAUCUGCACGCUGGUUUUUUGCAUAUUAAUUCAGACUUUUCCUCUGUACAACCCUUAAGCUGAACUUGACAUAGGGUAAACUGUAAAGAUGUUUUAUGCUCAGUUAAGGAAAGUUUUUGCUGAAUAGAAGGUAGCAAUUUUCCACGCAUCAUCGUCUGCCCCGCGAUGUUGGUUCCCCGCGCGACAGUAACAUCUUCACACCGUGAUCUUAUCUUGUUUUGGAUGUGUUAUGUUUUGUUGAAGUUUGUUGUGAUUUCGUCUGAAACAGUUUAGUGUCCUGUUGAAAUAAAGAAUUCUACAUAAUCUGCAUUCCAGAUUCAAAGCAUGUAGGCCACGGUCUGCACUGAAUUGUGUUCGGAAAGUUCAGAUGUAGAUUGAAGUUUGACAUACUCUGAAAUUAACAUACACAUCAUUUGGCGUAUUUGGCGCUCUUCACUUUACCCUUAUGUUCUGCCUUUUGGGUUUCAAAUUCUUCUAAAAUAUGCAUUCUCAUUGGAUAUCUAUUUGUGUCUGUUGUGGUGAUAUAUUGUAGAUCAUGUUGUUUUGAACGAUUAAUGAGCAGUUCCAUGCUAUCUAUAGGAUGGUCGGAUACUUUGUGUUCAAUUCAAUUGUACCCCACAAUGUUCAAUUUUGGUACUGUAAUAUUAUUUACCUAGGUCUUACCUUUGUUGUACUUCUUAAUAAUGUGUUUUGUGCGCUCUUCAGAGACACUCAUUGCUGACUUCGCAUUAGCUGAAUCAUCAAGAGUUGCUUUCGUCUGAUAGAUUUAAGUAUUAGAUAAUUUUUGAAAAUCAGUAUUGGUUUUUCUUUGUAAAUUUGAUGUUGGGCAUUGGCGCAUUUUCCUUGAUUAAGUACAAGUUGAGCUGAAUCUAAACCGCCCGUAACAACCCUCAUGUCCCCUGGGAUAUGAGUAUAUGACACCUUUCAGAGACAUCUGUUUUUAAUCUCAACAUACAAAUCCUCUUGGUUAUAGCCCACUUGUGUGAAUUCUGCAUCCUAUCUCCUGCUUGUGCUCUUCUUAAUUUUCAAGUGUCACAGUCUGAUUUUUAAAUGACAAUUUCAGAUUGUUAGACAGUGGGAUAUUUGGGAAAGACAGUCUUUUAAAAUUCCAUGCAGACCAUCAGGACUAAAGAAAGAGAAGAAUACGAAGAAGAAAAGAAAACCAUUUCACCAUCAAAAUUCAGAAAUAAAGACAUGCGGUAGAACAUGUCCUCCAAGAGCUCACGAGGGAGUAUCCAGAUCAGCUUCAUCGCAUUUCAGGCCGAGAGGGAUUAAUUAUGAGUUCAUUUGAUUUUUUUGUCACUAGGUGCUUAUGUGGCCUUUAAUUUUUCUACACUGAAAUAAAGAAUUUCCUAUGGUUAGUACAACGACUCAGAGUAGGUCUUUUGGUAAUUUCAUGGUAGGAAGAAAUCAAUUGUAUACAUGUUAACUUUCUACCUGAAGAAUUGCAGUGUAUCUUUGAUGAA
Molecule: long non-coding RNA, 2150 nt
Organism: Lolium perenne
Lineage: Eukaryota; Viridiplantae; Streptophyta; Magnoliopsida; Poales; Poaceae
Source: RefSeq, a predicted model, not a curated record